UGUGUUGUGUGUGUGUUGUGUGUUGUGUGUGUGUGUGCCUGUUGUGCCGUUGGUUGGCACUCCAGUUCAGUUCAGUGGUUGGUGGUGGUUGGAGGUCAGUCGGUUGUUGCCGCCGCCUGUUGCAAGUGGGGCCGUGUUAACGCUGGUUUAUUGUCACUCCAACCAACAACAACCACAACACCACCACCACCACCGCCGCCGCCAACAGGCGAACUCCCAGCCCGGCAGUGCCACCCAGGGAAGGAGGAGGAGGAGGAGCGGGUGUUGUGUGUGUGUGUUGUGUUGUGUUGUGUUGUGUUGUGUUGUGUGUGUGUGUGGGUCUGUUGUGCCGUUGGUUGGCACUCCAGUUCAGUUCAGUGGUUGGUGGUGGUUGGAGGUCAGUCGGUUGUCGCCGCCGCCUGUUGCAAGUGGGGCCGUGUUAACGCUGGUUUAUUGUCACUCCAACCAACAACAACCACAACACCACCACCACCACCACCACCGCCGCCGCCAACAGGCGAACUCCCAGCCCGGCGGUGCCACCCAGGGGAGGAGGAGGAGGAGCGGGUGUUGUGUGUGUGUUGUGUGUGUGUUGUGUGUGUGUUGUGUGUGUGUGCGCCUGUUGUCAUGCCGGUGGUCACUCGCUCGGUUUGGCUGGUUUGGUGGUUGGAGGUUGGUCGGUUGUUGCUGCCGACUGUUGAGCCGCGUUAACACUGUUCUAUUGUCGCUCCAACCAACAACAACCGCAACAACACCACCACCACCACCAACAGGCGAACUCCCAGCCCGGCAGUGCCACCCAGGGGAGGAGGAGGAGGAGGAGCGGGUGUUGCGUGUGUGCGUUGUGUUGUGUUGUGUGUGCAUGUGCCUGUUGUCAUGCCGGUGGUCACUCGCUUGGUUUGGCUGGUUCAGCGGUUGGUGGUGGUUGGAGGUCGGUCAGUCGGUUGUCGCCGCCGCCUGUUGCAAGUGGGGCCACAUUAACACUGUUCUAUUGUCACUCCAACCAACAACAACCACCAACAAGAGCAACAGCAACACCACCACCACCACCACCGCCAACAGGUGGACUCCCAGCCCAGUGGUGCCACCCGAGGGAGGAGGAGGAGGAGGAGGAGCGGGUGUUGCGUGUGUGUUGUGUGUUGUGUUGUGUGUGUGUGUGCUUGUUGUCUUGCCAAUGGUCGCUUGGUUUGGUUUGUCUGG
Molecule: long non-coding RNA, 1179 nt
Filed under: Numida meleagris (helmeted guineafowl)
Lineage: Eukaryota; Metazoa; Chordata; Aves; Galliformes; Numididae
Description: lncRNA (ENSNMEG00000002837.1)
Source: RNAcentral